Rhipicephalus microplus (southern cattle tick) is the source of this 637-nucleotide long non-coding RNA. RefSeq lists it as uncharacterized. Lineage: Eukaryota; Metazoa; Arthropoda; Arachnida; Ixodida; Ixodidae. The record is from RefSeq and is a predicted model, not a curated record.
GCACGUACAUACGUCACAUCCGGGAACGAGGACCGCUCCUUCGAAGCGUGUUCGGCGUAGGUUGGGACACCCUAGCGUAGGUGCACAGCAGGUGUUCUGUGGCUCGGCUGGCUCAGCGUGCUACAAACUGGUAGGUGUUCUGUGGUGCUACUCGUACAGGUGCCGCUGAGCUGUGGACAGGUAAAAGGAAGGUGUGCGGUUGACCAGCUGCUACCAUGAUAUCCUUGAUUCAGCGCUCGGCAACAAUGCCUAGCAUUGCACGCCUGCUUAAUUCCACAUCAUGCACAGCCACGCGGAAAUUCAGCGCUCUUUCUGCAAGUGCCAGCCAACAGAAGAAAGCUUCUACUCUACCUCUUGUAACAGAAACACCAUUGCAAGUUGCAGUGCGGACAUUUAAAGACUUGGAUGUUCUUACAAAACGAUGCAAAGACUGCUACUUCAAGAAAGGAGAUGAUCGUUGGUAUGUCCUAUGCAAGACGCAUGGAAGACACAAGCAGAGACAGCGUCUACCUGAUGAGCGUCACUUCUGGAUAGUAACACACAAGACUCAUGGCCCAAGAAAAAAUUUUUAGAUUGACAAAGCAAUGUAAUGAAAUUUGAAUUAAACCUGGUAUUUGCUUCAAGUAUUACAACCAUA